GCAUUUGAAACAUUACAGCCUUGAGUUCAAAAUUUCCAGCUUGGAAUGCUAGCCUAACAACUCCCAGUUGUAAGUCUUCUAAAAUAGGUACUACAAAAUCUCGUAUAGUCUUGUUUUGUAUUUGAGCAUCUUGCGACAACGGUGGGUUAUUAGCAUUUUGUUGUUGCAUCGGGGGUGUAACUUCAUAGUUUCUUGGUAAAGCCAUAUUCAUUUGUUCUUGAAGUCUCCUCCGGAUGGUUCUUUCACAUUUCUGGAUCAAAACUGGCAAUAAACUUCAAAUUGCUUCUGGUCAUACAACACAUAAAAUAAAAUGUGAAAAUAGUGACAAAAAGAAAAUAAGUCAGUAACAACUAAAUAUUAUAAAAAUAAACAAAAAUAAACAUCAAACAAAUGCCAUACUCGGCAACGGUGCCAUAACUUGAUUGGUUGUUUAACAUCACAGCAAUAAUGUGCAAGCGUACACUAUCGAUGCAAGUAUAGUAGAUAGAUAUUAAUCUGCCGGAUAUCAAUCCCAUGAGGAUGGUUGUCUUUUCUCUAUCAAUGUCAAUGCAAUAAAUAGAUAGGAAUGAGAUAAGUUGUGAGUGUAUUUGUUGAAGCAAUAACUUGAAAACAAUAAGAUAAAAUAUGAUACUGAUAAACUGGGAUCCCCAACGUGAA
Molecule: long non-coding RNA, 657 nt
Filed under: Gossypium barbadense (sea-island cotton)
Lineage: Eukaryota; Viridiplantae; Streptophyta; Magnoliopsida; Malvales; Malvaceae
Description: long non-coding RNA (GBAR_LNC021666)
Source: RNAcentral